Molecule: ribosomal RNA, 164 nt
Filed under: uncultured bacterium
Lineage: Bacteria
Description: partial 16S rRNA
Rfam family: Bacterial small subunit ribosomal RNA
Source: RNAcentral
UAGGGAAUCCUCCACAAUGGACGCAAGUCUGAUGGAGCAACGCCGCGUGAGUGAAGAAGGUCUUCGGAUCGUAAAACUCUGUUGUUAGAGAAGAACACGAGUGAGAGUAACUGUUCAUUCGAUGACGGUAUCUAACCAGCAAGUCACGGCUAACUACGUGCCAG